GUUCCCCUCACAGACCAGCUGUUUACCCAGAGGGUACUGCCCUCCUUUCAACCAGAUAUCAGGACUAGGGGCAGAAUGGGCUGAGAGGCUGCUCCAUAUCCACAUCAGAUCAAAACCAAGAGGAGGUCUGAGGCAGAGAGAAACUCCGGUCUGCAUGGAAGCCCAUCUGCGGUCCACUACCUAAUGACACCCUUCAGGCAGAGCCCAACAUAGGAACAAGAUUCAAACCCAUCGAGCCUCCCUGGUUAUUCGAGAAAUUGACUGACCAUCCCCUUGUGGGAUAUAGGAAACAGGGUUUAUUGGCACAGACUCCACCCCUUGAAUUCACCGUUCAUCCCAUCUAGUCGGGAGAUUGGAUCUUAGUAAAAUCAUGGACAGAGACUAAAUUACAGCUGGACUGGGAAGGGCCGUACCAGGCUCUUUUAACGACUGAAAUGGCAUUAAGGACGGCGGAGAAAGGCUGGACUCACUACACUCGGAUCAAAGGGCCAGUGGAAUCUCCAGUUGAGGAAGAGGUCUGGACAGCUGAAUCAACGCAAGACCCGCUGAAACUCAGACUAAAGAGACUUUGAGUAACUGAUUAUACAGUGGCGACAUGAGCGCGGGAUUAUUUCUGUAGGAUUGUAUAUUAAGUCGUUUUGUGCUUCAGCAUGAUGUUUAGAGUACUGGGAAUGCUUAGAGUUAUGAUGCUAGCUCUCUUAGUAUUGGGAUUUUGUCAAAUAUCAUUUUCAUAUGUGUUAUUAAUGGUUCCUGAGUCUGAUAAUCUACAAGUAAUAGAUGCUGAUGCAUGCAGUUUAGUAAAUUGUGGGGAUGUAGAUAAUCAGGGACAGUACCGCAGCUCAGAGAUACAUCUUGAGUCCUAUGGGGAUGGCCUUGAGAAUGGUACUUGGUAUAAUGGUAUCGUCACAGUACACCAGACCCCCUUCCAACCAGCUCGCGAUUGUCCAGAUAAAAAGUGUAACCCAAUAUACCUGACAAUAAAGAAGACCACAUGGCACGAAGCAAUUCUGGUGGGGGGAGGGAGGGGGGAGGGGGCACCUAUGAGAUACAAUUAAAUGAAACAUUUGGGAUAGAAAUGAAAGCAAAUGGGAAGGAUUUCUCUGGCUGUUGUUUCGAAUUAGCGUAGGACAGGGAAAACAGGCAGAAUUACUGGAUAAUGAGAUACAACGUUUCACCCCUCCCGCUGAUCCUAAAGUAGUAAAAAUUAUAGAGAUAAAGGACUUGAAACAGACUAUCAAAAUAGAAACUGGGUACGGGGAUGCAAAUGCCUGGGUUGAAUGGGUAAAGUAUAUUGUAAAAAGUCUGAACAAAAGCAAUUGCUUAUGCAUGUGCCUCCGGUAGGCCAGUGGCCCAGGUGGUUCCCUUUCCGCUCGGAUGGAAGCGAGACAGGAAGGGCAUGAAAUGUAUGAUAGCCCUGUAUCAGGAUGAGACUGCAUGGAAUGAUAGGAAUUGUACCUCCCUAUCUCUGAUGUUCCCUCCCUUGGAGAAGAAAGAUGUACAAGUUCCCCCCACAUUUUCCGCCACAGUUGGAAAUCACACGUCUUGUGUGCGUAGACGAGGCACAAGUCGGUCUAGAGAUUUGGGGGGAGCUGAAAUUAUGUACAGAGAUUAAAAAUGUUACCGAAAUGGAGAAGGGAGGGAACUACUCAGCACUAAAGGUUCCCCGAGCGGAUCUGUACUGGUACUGUGGAGGCAAAAUAUUGAGACCCACCCUACCUCCGGAUUGGAGAGGGAUAUGUGCAAUUGUACAAUUGGCAAUUCCAUUUACCCUGGCAUUUGAGAAGGAAAAGAUAGUAGGGAAAAAGGGAAGGGAUAAGAGAUCACUGUUAGACACUUCUUUUGAUGACAGGAUUUAUCUCGAUUUGGUAGGAGUCCCUAGGGAGUACCUGAUGAGUUCAAGGCUCGUAACCAGAUUGCAGCAGGCUUUGAGUAAGCUCUCUUUUGGUGGGUAACAAUUUAUAAAAAUGUGGAUUGGAUAAAUUACAUUUUCUAUAAUCAACAGCGAUUUAUAAAUUAUACAAGAGAUGCGGUUAAAGGAAUAUCAGAACAGCUUGAUGCGACAAGUAGGAUGGCAUGGGAGAACAGAAUGGCCCUUGAUAUGAUUUUAGCAGAAAAAGGGUGUGUGUGUGUGAUGUUAGGAGGAAGCUGUUGUACCUUUAUUCCUAAUAACACUGCACCUGAUGGUUCAAUUACUCGGGCCUUAAGGGGAUUGACUACCUUAGCAGAGGAACUGGCUGAGAAUUCAGGAGUAGACACAUCUCUCACGGAAUGGCUUGAAUCCUGGUUUGGAAGGUGAAAGGAGGUGGUAGUUUCCAUCCUUACUUCCCUGAUAGUAGUAGUCGGGGUAUUGGUAGCCAUUGGCUGUUGUAUCAUACCCUGAAUACGAGGGCUCACCCAAAGACUGAUUGAGACAGCCUUGAUGAAACAGAUGCCCCUAAAAGGAAAUUAGACAGAGGAACUUUAUCGACUAAAUAAUGAGGGGAUGAGUGAGACCAAGAUGGAUGAAAUCUCCGGAAUGAUGCUUGCGAAUUUCGGGGGCAAUGCUUAAAAGAAAAAUGCAGAAGAUAACAAAUGGUAAUUAAAGAAAAAGGGGAAAUUGUGGGAUAUAGGUAAAUUAAUGUUACUUCUGCAAUUCUGCAAUUAUAAUUACUGAUAUAAAAAUAAGUGAACUCACAUCAGUGUGUAAUUGUUUCAGCCAAGAGCUGAGCCAACAACAAUGGAAACUUAUGUGGAGGAAAUGCAUAAUUGUUUUUUUGUAUUAGCUAAAAAUGUUUGCAAGAAAGAAACGGGAUUGUAAGACAAUGGUAGAUAAUACAGGCACUAGAUAAAAUGCUGUGAAGAGAGGCAGUUAAACUAGAUAUGCCUGUAUAAACAGUAGGUAUCAACAUUUGUUUCCCACUUUUACAGAAACACAGGAACAAACCCCAAUUAAAAGGGCUUAGUGAUAAGAUGCUGUGAGGGGCAGCACAGAUGGAAGGAGUAGAUAAUGGUAAGGCAAGGAUGUGCUCAAGACAGGAUGAGGUCAAAUGGCCUUGUGAGAACAGGAAUAAGCAUUUUUGUCACAGACAAGGCCAUAUAAAACAAGAGAUAAACAGGAGUAAUGGGUAUCGAUCUUAGGGAAGUGGAGGAUGUGAACAGGAGGGGAAACAAUGAAAUAAGAAAAAAAUGUAAGAACCAAAUUAUAUAAAUAUCGAGUAUUUGUUGAAUUCAGUGUGUUUUGUCCCUGCCUUGUGGACCCACUUGCAAGUGUAAAAUAAAUGACACUACUGAUUCA
Hemiscyllium ocellatum (epaulette shark) is the source of this 3274-nucleotide long non-coding RNA. RefSeq lists it as uncharacterized. Lineage: Eukaryota; Metazoa; Chordata; Chondrichthyes; Orectolobiformes; Hemiscylliidae. The transcript is spliced from 2 exons. The record is from RefSeq and is a predicted model, not a curated record.